AACGAACGCUGGCGGCGUGGAUAAGACAUGCAAGUCGGACGGCAGCGCGGGGGCAACCUGGCGGCGAGUGGCGAACGGGUGAGUAAUAUAUCGGAACGUGCCCUGGAGUGGGGGAUAACGUAGCGAAAGUUACGCUAAUACCGCAUACGAUCCAAGGAUGAAAGCAGGGGACCUUCGGGCCUUGUGCUCCUGGAGCGGCCGAUAUCUGAUUAGCUAGUUGGUGGGGUAAAAGCCUACCAAGGCGACGAUCAGUAGCUGGUCUGAGAGGACGACCAGCCACACUGGAACUGAGACACGGUCCCAGACUCCUACGGGAGGCAGCAGUGGGGAAUUUUGGACAAUGGGGGCAACCCUGAUCCAGCAAUGCCGCGUGUGUGAAGAAGGCCUC
RNAcentral lists this ribosomal RNA (388 nucleotides) under uncultured bacterium. RNAcentral describes it as "bacterial SSU rRNA". It matches the Rfam family "Bacterial small subunit ribosomal RNA", at positions 29 to 418 of the family's 1533-position model. The record is from RNAcentral.